AGUGAACGCUGGCGGUAGGCCUAACACAUGCAAGUCGAACGGCAGCACAGUAAGAGCUUGCUCUUACGGGUGGCGAGUGGCGGACGGGUGAGGAAUACAUCGGAAUCUACUUUUUCGUGGGGGAUAACGUAGGGAAACUUACGCUAAUACCGCAUACGACCUACGGGUGAAAGCAGGGGAUCUUCGGACCUUGCGCGAUUGAAUGAGCCGAUGUCGGAUUAGCUAGUUGGCGGGGUAAAGGUCCACCAAGGCAACGAUCCGUAGCUGGUCUGAGAGGAUGAUCGGCCACACUGGAACUGAGACACGGUCCAGACUCCUACGGGAGGCAGCAGUGGGGAAUAUUGGACAAAGGGCGCAAGCCUGAUCCAGCCAUACCGCGUGGGUGAAGAAGGCCUUCGGGUUGUAAAGCCCUUUUGUUGGGAAAGAAAAGCAGCAGGUUAAUACCCCGCUGUUCUGACGGUACCCAAAGAAUAAGCACCGGCUAACUUCGUG
RNAcentral lists this ribosomal RNA (492 nucleotides) under uncultured bacterium. RNAcentral describes it as "partial 16S ribosomal RNA". It matches the Rfam family "Bacterial small subunit ribosomal RNA", at positions 29 to 507 of the family's 1533-position model. The record is from RNAcentral.